GGGAAAAGGGGGGGGGGCUACACAUGCAGUCGAGCGGCAGCGGAAGUAGCUUGCUACUUUGCCGGCGAGCGGCGGACGGGUGAGUAAUGUCUGGGAAACUGCCUGAUGGAGGGGGAUAACUACUGGAAACGGUAGCUAAUACCGCAUAACGUCGCAAGACCAAAGAGGGGGACCUUCGGGCCUCUUGCCAUCAGAUGUGCCCAGAUGGGAUUAGCUAGUAGGUGGGGUAACGGCUCACCUAGGCGACGAUCCCUAGCUGGUCUGAGAGGAUGACCAGCCACACUGGAACUGAGACACGGUCCAGACUCCUACGGGAGGCAGCAGUGGGGAAUAUUGCACAAUGGGCGCAAGCCUGAUGCAGCCAUGCCGCGUGUAUGAAGAAGGCCUUCGGGUUGUAAAGUACUUUCAGCGGGGAGGAAGGUGGUGAGGUUAAUAACCUCAUCAAUUGACGUUACCCGCAGAAGAAGCACCGGCUAACUCCGUGCCAGCAGCCGCGGUAAUACGGAGGGUGCAAGCGUUAAUCGGAAUUACUGGGCGUAAAGCGCACGCAGGCGGUCUGUCAAGUCGGAUGUGAAAUCCCCGGGCUCAACCUGGGAACUGCAUUCGAAACUGGCAGGCUAGAGUCUUGUAGAGGGGGGUAGAAUUCCAGGUGUAGCGGUGAAAUGCGUAGAGAUCUGGAGGAAUACCGGUGGCGAAGGCGGCCCCCUGGACAAAGACUGACGCUCAGGUGCGAAAGCGUGGGGAGCAAACAGGAUUAGAUACCCUUGGUAGUCCAGAAA
Molecule: ribosomal RNA, 779 nt
Filed under: Pantoea agglomerans
Lineage: Bacteria; Pseudomonadati; Pseudomonadota; Gammaproteobacteria; Enterobacterales; Erwiniaceae
Description: bacterial SSU rRNA
Rfam family: Bacterial small subunit ribosomal RNA
Source: RNAcentral